RNAcentral lists this unclassified non-coding RNA (312 nucleotides) under plant metagenome. RNAcentral's name for it is "partial contains 5.8S ribosomal RNA, internal transcribed spacer 2, and large subunit ribosomal RNA". The stretch from base 1 to 105 matches the Rfam family "5.8S ribosomal RNA", at positions 50 to 154 of the family's 154-position model. The record is from RNAcentral.
GAAAUGCGAUAAGUAAUGUGAAUUGCAGAAUUCCGUGAAUCAUCGAAUCUUUGAACGCACAUUGCGCCCUCUGGCAUUCCGGGGGGCAUGCCUGUCCGAGCGUCAUUACGCACCCUCAAGCCCGGCGUGUGUGAUGGGCCCUGGCGUCUCGUUCGCGAGACGGGCCCGAAAGGCAGCGGCGGCGUCGACCCGAUGAGCCCGAGCGUAUGGGUACUUUUGUCACACGUUUGCGGUGCGGACCGGCGCCUGCUUGACUUUUCUGAUUAUCCAGGUUGACCUCGGAUCAGGUAGGGAUACCCGCUGAACUUAAGC